GUCUGCAACUCGACUCCAUGAAGUCGGAAUCGCUAGUAAUUCCAGAUCAGCAUGCUGGGGUGAAUGCGUUCCCGGGCCUUGUACACACCGCCCGUCACACCACGAAAGUUGGUUUUACCCGAAGCCGAUGAGCUAACAGCAAUGAGGCAAUCGUCUACGGUAGGCCCGAUGAUUGGGGUGAAGUCGUAACAAGGUAGC
Molecule: ribosomal RNA, 198 nt
Filed under: uncultured bacterium
Lineage: Bacteria
Description: partial 16S ribosomal RNA
Rfam family: Bacterial small subunit ribosomal RNA
Source: RNAcentral